AACGAACGCUGGCGGCAUGCCUAACACAUGCAAGUCGAACGAGGUCCGGAGCUUGCUCCGGGUGCCCAGUGGCGAACGGGUGAGUAACGCGUGGGAAUCUGCCCUGGAGUGGGGAACAACAGUUGGAAACGACUGCUAAUACCGCAUACGCCCUGAGGGGGAAAGGCUUCGGCCGCUCUUGGAUGAUCCCGCGUCUGAUUAGCUUGUUGGUGGGGUAACGGCCUACCAAGGCGACGAUCAGUAGCUGGUCUGAGAGGAUGAUCAGCCACACUGGGACUGAGACACGGCCCAGACUCCUACGGGAGGCAGCAGUGGGGAAUAUUGGACAAUGGGGGAAACCCUGAUCCAGCAAUGCCGCGUGAGU
This 364-nucleotide ribosomal RNA is filed under the name uncultured bacterium. Its description in RNAcentral is "bacterial SSU rRNA". It matches the Rfam family "Bacterial small subunit ribosomal RNA", at positions 29 to 406 of the family's 1533-position model. The record is from RNAcentral.